CUUAAUGUCCUAUCAUUUAGCCUUAAAAUUGAAAGAACCUUUAGAAGUCACCUUUUCUAAUCCCUGACCAAAUACUACACAAUUACUUCUACAAUAGGUCCUCUGGUGGUUUUUCCAUUAUAUGGGACAUACUUUAUUACAUACAUCCCCAGUCUUCAGGAGCUUCAUUUCAUUCUAUUUGUUUCACUGAGAUUCAGACCUCAGUUUUAAAAAGUACUACUUUAUUGAGGGGCCCAAAGUUUCAGUUGCUGCCAUUUCCAUCACAAUGUUUUGAUGCAAAACAGAACGCUCCUAUUCUUUCUUCUCCGAUAAUUCUUUGCCACAGUAAGGAUUAAAUGAAUAUUUGACUAAAGAAUGAAAAUGUGAGGAGGACAGCUUUCAGAUUUUCAUAUUUCUUUUCAAGCUAGACAUUGUUCCUUCAAUUAUUACACAAGGGGCAUUUUUUUUUUACAUAGGAGAUGCAAAAAAAUCCAGUUAUUUAGGCAUUGUAAAAUCAAAGAUAAAAAUCUAUGAUUACACCUGAACUUUCUUAUGAUAUGUAUAGCCAAUCUUUUUGGAAGCUUUACACAUCAUAUCACAUUCCCAAAUUCCAGUUCCUGCUAUUGAUAUGAAAAGUUCCUUUUACCAGAAACAUUCAAACAGAAGCUACAUGUUCAUUUGCCUGGAAUACCUCAGAAGGGAUUCUAGCUCUAGGAGAGUAGUUGAAUAAAACGAGGGCUCAAAAUCGCCUGGAAAACUACCACUAAUAGUGUGUUUUCUUUUAUAUAUAGUCUAAAUUAACUUCUGAGCUUUCUCUUCCAACUCAAAUUCAGUAGUAAGUCAUAUGUUCCAUAGCUUAAUAAUUUAAGUACUAUAAUUACUGUUGAUGAUUUUUUUUUUUUUUUUGAGCGGGAGAGCAAUCCUCUAUGAGAUGAUAGUUAAAAAAUGUUUCCCCUGAAUUAACAGGCUGGAACAAGCUGGGAUUACUAGUUUGAAAGCAAUGGUUUUAUUAAAAAAGAA
Long non-coding RNA from Herpailurus yagouaroundi (jaguarundi), 999 nucleotides. RefSeq lists it as uncharacterized. The transcript has 2 exons. The record is from RefSeq and is a predicted model, not a curated record. Lineage: Eukaryota; Metazoa; Chordata; Mammalia; Carnivora; Felidae.